Molecule: transfer RNA, 76 nt
Filed under: Lentisphaeria bacterium
Lineage: Bacteria; Pseudomonadati; Lentisphaerota; Lentisphaeria
Description: tRNA-Glu
Rfam family: tRNA
About the family: Transfer RNA (tRNA) molecules are approximately 80 nucleotides in length. Their secondary structure includes four short double-helical elements and three loops (D, anti-codon, and T loops).
Source: RNAcentral
GUCUCCGUCGUUUAACCGGUAAAGACACAGGACUUUCAAUCCUGUAAUGUGGGUUCAAGUCCCGCCGGAGAUACCA